This 311-nucleotide ribosomal RNA is filed under the name uncultured bacterium. Its description in RNAcentral is "bacterial SSU rRNA". It matches the Rfam family "Bacterial small subunit ribosomal RNA", at positions 28 to 334 of the family's 1533-position model. The record is from RNAcentral.
GAUGAACGCUAGCGACAGGCCUAACACAUGCAAGUCGAGGGGUAACGGAAGUAGCUUGCUACUAGGCGACGACCGGCGCACGGGUGAGUAACACGUAUGCAACCUACCUUUUACAGAGGGAUAGCCCAGAGAAAUUUGGAUUAAUACCUCAUGGUAUUUUUGAAUCGCAUGAUUUAGAAAUUAAAACUCCGGUGGUAAAAGAUGGGCAUGCGUUCUAUUAGUUAGUUGGUGAGGUAACGGCUCACCAAGGCGACGAUAGAUAGGGGUUCUGAGAGGAUAGUCCCCCACACUGGUACUGAGACACGGACCAG